Cannabis sativa is the source of this 1085-nucleotide long non-coding RNA. RefSeq lists it as uncharacterized. The transcript has 3 exons. Lineage: Eukaryota; Viridiplantae; Streptophyta; Magnoliopsida; Rosales; Cannabaceae. The record is from RefSeq and is a predicted model, not a curated record.
AUUAACAAGUAACAAACGUGUCAAUAGGUUGAAUUGGUUUCAAGUUAGAAAAAGAUGGAGCUAAAAUAGAUUAGUGGCAUUACCAUGCAUAGAGUUAGUUAAGCACUUUACUUCUUUGAACGUGUGCAUUGGAGACUUUUAAGGGAGCAAAUUUAAAAUUCAAAACAAAGAGACUUAGUAAAAGAUAAGUUGAUGAGUUGUAUACGCGUAACACUUUUGUUUCAAAUUUCUCUAGCAUAUUUUAUUGAAGCUUCAACCAAGAGAGCACCAAGGAUGAGUCUUGGAAACCAUGUGUCAUAUUAUGACUGCUCCAUUAUACAUUUUAACAAUUAGAAUUCAAAUUUUGAAUCUAGCAUUUACGGCUACUCAUGUGGGUGGUUAGUUUUUAGGCCUAUAUAUAGAUGGAACCUUUGUGUUUCAUCAUAGAAAGUAACUCAAACUACUCACUCUAGUUCAUACUAAAUUCAUAGUCGAACCACCAUUUACCAUUUCUUCCUCAUUAGUUGUUUUAAGGUUGGAAACUCUAGCAUUCUUUAGCUAGUUUCAGCAUCAACCAAUUUACCACCAACACCACUAUAGCCACGCCACCAUCACCUUCUCAAAACUAUUACUACCAUCCGCCAUCAACUCCUCUCAUAACUAUCACAGCCAGCCUCUCAUAAAUAUAUAUAUAUAUAUACAUCUUUCUUUCAUCAUACUUGCAUCACCAUCUAUCAAAUUCUACGUUCAAGUUCUAGUGCUCAACUAGAUCUCAUUGGAAGCUAAUUAAGGUUUCUCAUAAGCCAGUUAUUGGUUCUCAAGGGCCACUAUUGCAAUCAAGGCUAAGACUCCACAUUGAGACCAAGGUAACUGAAAGUUUAGAAAGCCGGUGGCGAGUGGAACUUUGGAUGCUUGUGUGUGUGAACUCGCUGAGGACCAUAUAACUGCGGGCGGUCUAGGGCGCUCUAUUUAUUUAUUUACGUUAUUAAACUUAUGUCGCAAUUAUUUUAGUUAUUAAUUAUUAUGUCUUUUGUACGAAAACUGGCCAGUUGUGAACAUUUUUAAGUAUCAAAUAAAAAUGCGACAAUAUGAUUUUCCGCGUUUAA